UUUGAUUCUGGCUCAGGACGAACGCUGGCGGCGUGCUUAACACAUGCAAGUCGAGCGAUGAAGCACCUUCGGGUGUGAAUUAGCGGCGAACGGGUGAGGAACACGUGAAGAAUCUGCCUUCAACUCUGGGAUAACUCCGGGAAACCGGGGCUAAUACCGGAUAUGAGCCUUGAUCGCAUGAUCGGGGCUGGAAAGUUUUUCGGUUGAAGAUGACUUCGCGGCCUAUCAGCUUGUUGGUGAGGUAAUGGCUCACCAAGGCGACGACGGGUAGCCGGCCUGAGAGGGCGACCGGCCACACUGGGACUGAGACACGGCCCAGACUCCUACGGGAGGCAGCAGUGGGGAAUAUUGGGCAAUGGAGGAAACUCUGACCCAGCGACGCCGCGUGAGGGAUGAAGGCCUUCGGGUUGUAAACCUCUUUCAGUAGGGAAGAAGCGAAAGUGACGGUACCUACAGAAGAAGCACCGGCUAACUAUGUGCCAGCAGCCGCGGUAAUACAUAGGGUGCAAGCGUUGUCCGGAAUUAUUGGGCGUAAAGAGCUCGUAGGUGGUUCGAUACGUCGGAUGUGAAAAUCAGGGGCUCAACCCCUGACCUGCAUCCGAUACGGUCGAGCUAGAGUUUGGUAGGGGAGACUGGAAUUCCUGGUGUAGCGGUGGAAUGCGCAGAUAUCAGGAGGAACACCGAUGGCGAAGGCAGGUCUCUGGGCCAAUACUGACACUGAGGAGCGAAAGCGUGGGGAGCGAACAGGAUUAGAUACCCUGGUAGUCCACGCCGUAAACGGUGGGCGCUAGUUGUGCGAACCUUCCACGGUUUGUGCGACGCAGCUAACGCAUUAAGCGCCCCGCCUGGGGAGUACGAUAGCAAGAUUA
This 869-nucleotide ribosomal RNA is filed under the name uncultured Actinomycetales bacterium. RNAcentral's name for it is "bacterial SSU rRNA". It matches the Rfam family "Bacterial small subunit ribosomal RNA", at positions 12 to 896 of the family's 1533-position model. Lineage: Bacteria; Bacillati; Actinomycetota; Actinomycetes; Actinomycetales. The record is from RNAcentral.